CUCCGUUUCAUAAUUUAAGUUAUUCCACCAUUUUCUACAUUCAUAUUGAUGUUAAUGAAUCUAGAUAGAUAUAUAUGUCUAGAUUCAUUAACAUCAAUAUGAAUGUGGGAAAUGAUAGAAUGACUUACAUUGUGAAACGG
This 140-nucleotide unclassified non-coding RNA is filed under the name Oryza sativa (Asian cultivated rice). Its description in RNAcentral is "partial microRNA MIR455b-36 precursor". The record is from RNAcentral. Lineage: Eukaryota; Viridiplantae; Streptophyta; Magnoliopsida; Poales; Poaceae.